GUGGGAGGGGGCUUGCCCCCGAUGGCGGCGGCACACUCAACAUAUUUGUUGGCUGAACCACUGCUAUCGGGGGCAAGCCCCCUCCCAC
Molecule: unclassified non-coding RNA, 88 nt
Filed under: Pseudomonas sp. OV546
Lineage: Bacteria; Pseudomonadati; Pseudomonadota; Gammaproteobacteria; Pseudomonadales; Pseudomonadaceae
Source: RNAcentral